RNAcentral lists this unclassified non-coding RNA (280 nucleotides) under Leohumicola sp. RNAcentral describes it as "partial contains 5.8S ribosomal RNA, internal transcribed spacer 2, and large subunit ribosomal RNA". The stretch from base 1 to 71 matches the Rfam family "5.8S ribosomal RNA", at positions 84 to 154 of the family's 154-position model. Lineage: Eukaryota; Fungi; Ascomycota; Leotiomycetes. The record is from RNAcentral.
GUGAGUCAUCGAAUCUUUGAACGCACAUUGCGCCCCUUGGUAUUCCGAGGGGCAUGCCCGUUCGAGCGUCAUUAUAACCCCUCAAGCCUAGCUUGGUGUUGGGGCCUGCUGUGACCGGCAGCCCUUAAAAUCAGUGGCGGUGCUAUCAGGCUCUAAGCGUAGUAAUACUUCUCGCUACAGGGUCUCGGUGGAUGCUUGCCAUCAACCCCUAAUUUUCUAUGGUUGACCUCGGAUCGGGUAGGGAUACCCGCUGAACUUAAGCAUAUCAAUAAGCGGAGGA